AACGAACGCUGGCGGCAUGCCUAACACAUGCAAGUCGAACGAGACCUUCGGGUCUAGUGGCGCACGGGUGCGUAACGCGUGGGAACCUGCCCUUAGGUUCGGAAUAACUCCCCGAAAGGGGUGCUAAUACCGGAUAAUGUCUUCGGACCAAAGAUUUAUCGCCUUUGGAUGGGCCCGCGUUGGAUUAGCUAGUUGGUAGGGUAAAAGCCUACCAAGGCGACGAUCCAUAGCUGGUCGGAGAGGAUGAUCAGCCACACUGGGACUGAGACACGGCCCAGACUCGUACGGGAGGGAGCAGUGGGGAAUAUUGGACGAUGGGCGAAAGCCUGAUACAGCAAUGCCGCGUGAGUGAUGAAGGCCUUAGGGUUGUAAAGCUCUUUUACCCGGGAUGAUAAUGACAGUACCGGGAGAAUAAGCACCGGCUAACUACGUG
RNAcentral lists this ribosomal RNA (433 nucleotides) under uncultured bacterium. RNAcentral describes it as "partial 16S ribosomal RNA". It matches the Rfam family "Bacterial small subunit ribosomal RNA", at positions 29 to 507 of the family's 1533-position model. The record is from RNAcentral.